Trichonephila inaurata madagascariensis is the source of this 74-nucleotide non-coding RNA. Lineage: Eukaryota; Metazoa; Arthropoda; Arachnida; Araneae; Nephilidae. The record is from the annotation of a GenBank genome assembly.
AUCCCUGUAGCGCAAUGGAUAGCGCGUUGAACUUCUAUUCCAUAGGUUCGUAGGUUCGAAUACUACCUGGGAUG